AUUGAACGCUGGCGGCAUGCCUUACACAUGCAAGUCGAACGGUAACGGGCCUUCGGGUGCCGACGAGUGGCGAACGGGUGCGUAAUACAUCGGAACGUGCCCGAUCGUGGGGGAUAACGAGGCGAAAGCUUUGCUAAUACCGCAUACGAUCUACGGAUGAAAGCAGGGGGCCGCAAGGCCUUGCGCGGACGGAGCGGCCGAUGGCAGAUUAGGUAGUUGGUGGGAUAAAAGCUUACCAAGCCGACGAUCUGUAGCUGGUCUGAGAGGAUGAUCAGCCACACUGGGACUGAGACACGGCCCAGACUCCUACGGGAGGCAGCAGUGGGGAAUUUUGGACAAUGGGCGCAAGCCUGAUCCAGCCAUGCCGCGUGCAGGAUGAAGGCCUUCGGGUUGUAAACUGCUUUUGUACGGAAAGAAAAGCCUUCUUUUAAUACAGGAGGGUCAUGACGGUACCGUAAGAAUAAGCACCGGCUAACUACGUG
This 482-nucleotide ribosomal RNA is filed under the name uncultured bacterium. RNAcentral's name for it is "partial 16S ribosomal RNA". It matches the Rfam family "Bacterial small subunit ribosomal RNA", at positions 30 to 507 of the family's 1533-position model. The record is from RNAcentral.